RNAcentral lists this ribosomal RNA (439 nucleotides) under uncultured bacterium. RNAcentral's name for it is "bacterial SSU rRNA". It matches the Rfam family "Bacterial small subunit ribosomal RNA", at positions 953 to 1393 of the family's 1533-position model. The record is from RNAcentral.
GACGCAACGACGAAAACCUUAACCUACCCUUGACAUGUCUAGGAAUACCUGAAGAGAUUUGGGAGUGCUCGAAAGAGAACCAGAACACAGGUGCUGCAUGGCCGUCGUCAGCUCGUGUCGUGAGAUGUUGGGUUAAGUCCCGCAACGAGCGCAACCCUUGUCAUUAGUUGCUACGUAAGGGCACUCUAAUGAGACUGCCGGUGACAAACCGGAGGAAGGUGGGGAUGACGUCAGGUCAUCAUGGCCCUUAUGGGUAGGGCUACACACGUCAUACAAUGGCCGGUACAGAGGGCUGCCAACCCGCGAGGGGGAGCUAAUCCCAGAAAACCGGUCGUAGUCCGGAUCGCAGUCUGCAACUCGACUGCGUGAAGUCGGAAUCGCUAGUAAUCGCGGAUCAGCUUGCCGCGGUGAAUACGUUCCCGGGUCUUGUACACACCGC